AGGACGAACGCUGGCGGCGUGCUUAACACAUGCAAGUCGAGCGGAAAGGCCCUUCGGGGUACUCGAGCGGCGAACGGGUGAGUAACACGUGAGUAAUCUGCCCCUAGCUCUGGGAUAGCUCCGGGAAACCGGGAUUAAUACCAGAUACGACCACUUUAGACAUCUGUUGUGGUGGAAAGAAUUUUGGUUAGGGAUGAGCUCGCGGCCUAUCAGCUUGUUGGUGAGGUAACGGCUCACCAAGGCGACGACGGGUAGCCGGCCUGAGAGGGCGACCGGCCACACUGGGACUGAGACACGGCCCAGACUCCUACGGGAGGCAGCAGUGGGGAAUAUUGCGCAAUGGGCGAAAGCCUGACGCAGCGACGCCGCGUGGGGGAUGAAGGCCUUCGGGUUGUAAACCCCUUUCAGCAGGGACGAAGCGAAAGUGACGGUACCUGCAGAAGAAGCACCGGCCAACUACGUGCCAGCAGCCGC
This 474-nucleotide ribosomal RNA is filed under the name uncultured bacterium. RNAcentral's name for it is "SSU rRNA". It matches the Rfam family "Bacterial small subunit ribosomal RNA", at positions 26 to 518 of the family's 1533-position model. The record is from RNAcentral.